RNAcentral lists this non-coding RNA (21 nucleotides) under Arabidopsis thaliana (thale cress). The record is from RNAcentral. Lineage: Eukaryota; Viridiplantae; Streptophyta; Magnoliopsida; Brassicales; Brassicaceae.
UUCAGACUGUGAAACUGCGAA